UAGGGAUAUAGCUCAAUCGGUAGAGCAGUGGUCUCCAAAGCCGCGUGUCGGGGGUUCGAAUCCCUCUAUCCCUGU
Molecule: transfer RNA, 75 nt
Filed under: candidate division CPR1 bacterium ADurb.Bin160
Lineage: Bacteria; candidate division CPR1
Description: tRNA-Trp
Rfam family: tRNA
About the family: Transfer RNA (tRNA) molecules are approximately 80 nucleotides in length. Their secondary structure includes four short double-helical elements and three loops (D, anti-codon, and T loops). Further hydrogen bonds mediate the characteristic L-shaped molecular structure. tRNAs have two regions of fundamental functional importance: the anti-codon, which is responsible for specific mRNA codon recognition, and the 3' end, to which the tRNAs corresponding amino acid is attached (by aminoacyl-tRNA synthetases). tRNAs cope with the degeneracy of the genetic code in two manners: having more than one tRNA (with a specific anti-codon) for a particular amino acid; and 'wobble' base-pairing, i.e. permitting non-standard base-pairing at the 3rd anti-codon position.
Source: RNAcentral